This 711-nucleotide ribosomal RNA is filed under the name Salmonella enterica. RNAcentral's name for it is "partial 23S ribosomal RNA". It matches the Rfam family "Bacterial large subunit ribosomal RNA", at positions 1047 to 1757 of the family's 2925-position model. The record is from RNAcentral. Lineage: Bacteria; Pseudomonadati; Pseudomonadota; Gammaproteobacteria; Enterobacterales; Enterobacteriaceae.
CCAAAGUCAUGGUUAAGUGGGAAACGAUGUGGGAAGGCCCAGACAGCCAGGAUGUUGGCUUAGAAGCAGCCAUCAUUUAAAGAAAGCGUAAUAGCUCACUGGUCGAGUCGGCCUGCGCGGAAGAUGUAACGGGGCUAAACCAUGCACCGAAGCUGCGGCAGCGACGCUGAUGCGUUGUUGGGUAGGGGAGCGUUCUGUAAGCCUGUGAAGGUGGCCUGUGAGGGUUGCUGGAGGUAUCAGAAGUGCGAAUGCUGACAUAAGUAACGAUAAAGCGGGUGAAAAGCCCGCUCGCCGGAAGACCAAGGGUUCCUGUCCAACGUUAAUCGGGGCAGGGUGAGUCGACCCCUAAGGCGAGGCCGAAAGGCGUAGUCGAUGGGAAACGGGUUAAUAUUCCCGUACUUGGUGUUACUGCGAAGGGGGGACGGAGAAGGCUAUGUUGGCCGGGCGACGGUUGUCCCGGUUUAAGCGUGUAGGUGUGUGUUCCAGGUAAAUCCGGUUCACUUUAACACUGAGGCGUGAUGACGAGGCACUACGGUGCUGAAGCAACAAAUGCCCUGCUUCCAGGAAAAGCCUCUAAGCAUCAGGUAACAUCAAAUCGUACCCCAAACCGACACAGGUGGUCAGGUAGAGAAUACCAAGGCGCUUGAGAGAACUCGGGUGAAGGAACUAGGCAAAAUGGUGCCGUAACUUCGGGAGAAGGCACGCUGACAC